Molecule: ribosomal RNA, 443 nt
Filed under: uncultured bacterium
Lineage: Bacteria
Description: partial 16S ribosomal RNA
Rfam family: Bacterial small subunit ribosomal RNA
Source: RNAcentral
CCUACGGGAGGCAGCAGUGGGGAAUAUUGGGCAAUGGGCGCAAGCCUGACCCAGCAACGCCGCGUGCAGGAAGAAGGCUUUCGGGUUGUAAACUUCUUUUCUCAGGGACGAAGAAAGUGACGGUACCUGAGGAAUAAGCCACGGCUAACUACGUGCCAGCAGCCGCGGUAAUCCGUAGGUGGCAAGCGUUAUCCGGAUUUAUUGGGUGUAAAGGGCGUGUAGGCGGGAGGGCAAGUCAGAGGUGAAAACUCAGGGCUCAACCCUGAGCCUGCAUUUGAAACUGUGGUUCUUGAGUGCUGGAGAGGCAAGCGGAAUUCCGGGUGUAGCGGUGAAAUGCGUAGAGAUACGGAGGAACACCAGUGGCGAAGGCGGAUUGCUGGACAGUAACUGACGCUGAGGCGCGAAAGCGUGGGGAGCAAACAGGAUUAGAUACCCCUGUAGUC